Molecule: long non-coding RNA, 1047 nt
Filed under: Homo sapiens (human)
Lineage: Eukaryota; Metazoa; Chordata; Mammalia; Primates; Hominidae
Description: HSALNT0178560
Source: RNAcentral
GGAAGGAAGGAGGCAGUUCCGGGUUUCCCACAGGAGUUCUGAGAGACCAUCAAACCAGAUGAUCAUGUGGCAAGUGUUCCAGCCAGUUCCAGAUGAAGACACCACCCCCUGAAGAAGCUACCCUAUUUCCACUAGACAGAGGAGGGCGAGAAUUCCAUGAUUCCAUGAUUCCCAAUAUGUAAGGACUACACCUCAAUCAGCAUGAGGCAAUUACAGAAGAAAGACCAUUGGUCCCUCUGCCUCCCAUAAAGAUUUAUGGGGAUCACAUCUCUCAGGGAAAAAUGAGGCAGGAGAAUAGGGUCUGGAGGCAGGGAUCAUAAGGCUGAUUCACACUGACUUCCUAGAACUAAAUCAAAAGGAAAACCCCAACUUUCCACACCUAAGUAACAAAAGGACUGGAGGCUACUCCCUUUGCAAACCACCCCCUGCCGCCCUUUUUCUACAUGGUAGAUGGAAAAUUUAAAGUAUCUCUAAUUGGUUGCAGGUUGCAGAAAGCAACCAAUCAGAGGCUUGCAUAGGAGUGUAACUUUGUAACUUCAGCCUCUGAUUGGUUGCUUUUCACAACCAAUCAGACACUUGCAUAAGUGUAACCUUUGUAACUUCAGCCUCUGACUGGUUGCUUUCCUAAACCAAACAGACUAAUUGCGGGCCAUACUUCACUUACAUAGCGUGUACACCAAGUAGUAACCAAUGGGAAACCUCUAGAUGGUAUUUAAAUCCCAGAAAAUUCUGUAAUGGGGGUCUUGAGCUCCUAUGCUCCGGCCGCUCCCACCCUGUGGAGUGUACUUUGAUUUUCAAUAAAUCUCUGCUUUUGUUGCUUCAUUCUUUCCUUGUUUUGUUUGUGUGUUUUCUUCAAUUCUUUGUUCAAAACACCAAGAACCUGUACACCCUACACCAGUAACACAUGCUAUGGUCAAUAUCUACAAUUUCUGUCUCCAAGUAUGCAAGCACUACUUUGAACCGCAUACACUAACAACUUGGUGUUCUGGGUCAUUAGUUGCAAAUCGACAGGUUCUGUUUUAGUCACAAAAUCAAGUUUCAUCACCG